This 377-nucleotide ribosomal RNA is filed under the name uncultured bacterium. Its description in RNAcentral is "bacterial SSU rRNA". It matches the Rfam family "Bacterial small subunit ribosomal RNA", at positions 521 to 896 of the family's 1533-position model. The record is from RNAcentral.
UAAGACAGAGGUGCCAAGCGUUAGGCGGAAUCACUGGGCUUAAAGCGUGUGUAGGCGGACUUCUAAGUACCUUGUGAAAUCCCACGGCUCACCCGUGGAACUGCUCGGUAUACUGGUCGUCUUGAGCCACUUAGGGGCUGUCGGAACAGGCGGUGGAGCGGUGAAAUGCGUAGAUAUCGCCUGGAACGCCAACGGUGAAAACAGACAGCUGGGAGUGUGCUGACGCUGAGACACGAAAGCCAGGGGAGCGAACGGGAUUAGAUACCCCGGUAGUCCUGGCCGUAAACGAUGUCGACUAGAUCGUGGAGCCUCUGACGGUCUCACGGUCGAAGCAAAAGUGCUAAGUCGACCGCCUGGGAAGUACGGUCGCAAGGCUA